GACGAACGCUGGCGGCGUGCUUAACACAUGCAAGUCGAGCGAUGAAGUUCCUUCGGGAAUGGAUUAGCGGCGGACGGGUGAGUAACACGUGGGUAACCUGCCUCAUAGAGGGGAAUAGCCUUCCGAAAGGAAGAUUAAUACCGCAUAAGAUUGUAGUAUCGCAUGAUACAGCAAUUAAAGGAGUAAUUCGCUAUGAGAUGGACCCGCGUCGCAUUAGCUAGUUGGUGAGGUAACGGCUCACCAAGGCGACGAUGCGUAGCCGACCUGAGAGGGUGAUCGGCCACAUUGGGACUGAGACACGGCCCAGACUCCUACGGGAGGCAGCAGUGGGGAAUAUUGCACAAUGGGGGAAACCCUGAUGCAGCAACGCCGCGUGAGUGAUGACGGUCUUCGGAUUGUAAAACUCUGUCUUCAGGGACGAUAAUGACGGUGCCUGAGGAGGAAGCCACGGCUAACUACGUGCCAGCCGCCGCAGUAA
This 478-nucleotide ribosomal RNA is filed under the name uncultured bacterium. Its description in RNAcentral is "partial 16S ribosomal RNA". It matches the Rfam family "Bacterial small subunit ribosomal RNA", at positions 28 to 523 of the family's 1533-position model. The record is from RNAcentral.